Cydia splendana is the source of this 992-nucleotide long non-coding RNA. RefSeq lists it as uncharacterized. The record is from RefSeq and is a predicted model, not a curated record. The transcript is spliced from 4 exons. Lineage: Eukaryota; Metazoa; Arthropoda; Insecta; Lepidoptera; Tortricidae.
CCUACUUGAGUAACGAAUUUCAUAUCGACCGUUCAUAUAAUUGCAGAAUAUCCAAUUAAGAGAGAAAAUUUCCUUGGCUAAGGCGCAGUGUGCAAAAAAAUCGGAUACCGUAGUACAAGCAUCUAUUUCAAAACUACCUGAAGAAUUUCAAAAUGCCGUGAGAUCAUGUUUUGAAGCCGCGAGAAAAAAAAAUACAAAAGGUCGUCGAUACACGUUAGAAUGGAUUUAUGAGUGCAUGUUGAUACGUAUAAAAAGCAGGAAUACGUAUGAAUUUAUACGUAAAAGAAAUAUUUUACCCCUUCCUUCUGUACAAACAUUAAAUAAAUACCUCAGCAAAAUCAGCUGUUCUGCAUAUGGAUUCCAAUCCUCUACUUUCUUUAGUUUAAAAGAAAGAUGUGAGGCGAUGAAGAAGGAGGAGAAACGAGGAGUUAUUUUAGUGGAUGAAAAUUGCUUACAUGUUAACACCAGCGCAUUUGAAACCGAAAGGUUUUCAAGUAAUGAAUGUUCCUCUUGCAACUGAAGUGUUUGGUCACGAAAUUUCGGUUGCCAUGGCUCACUAUCAACCCUAUUGCGAGGAAUUGAAGGAUUCAACUGCAACACAAAAAUUUAUUGAUCUUGUAUUCAAUUUGAUACAAGCUAUGUCUUCGCGUAUACCAAGAGAUGCUCUGUACGUGAAUGAAAAUUGCAGACGAAGAAAGGCAAUCCAGGAAUUUUUAGAAUUCCUUGCAGACUGGGAAAAGCUCGAAAAAAAAUACCUGUGUCAAGGAGCACGUUAACAGGAUUAAAAGUAACUUUGCGGGCAACACUUGAAAUUUUGGAUAUGCUUAAUGUCGCAUGUGAUUACAAGUAUUUGAUGACAGCAACCCUAUCUCAAGAUCCAUUGGAGAGAUUUUUCUCCAUCAUGAGAUAUUCGUGUGGAGGAAACGAUCACCCUGAUCCCAAAAUGUUUGCACAAGUUUACCGAUUGGCGUCUUGUUUUUCCCUAAUACGCC